RNAcentral lists this ribosomal RNA (815 nucleotides) under uncultured bacterium. Its description in RNAcentral is "bacterial SSU rRNA". It matches the Rfam family "Bacterial small subunit ribosomal RNA", at positions 56 to 882 of the family's 1533-position model. The record is from RNAcentral.
UGCAAGUCGAACGGACUUUUCAUGAAGCCUAGCGAUUGAAAAGUUAGUGGCGGACGGGUGAGUAACGCGUGGGUAACCUGCCUUGUACUGGGGGACAACAGUUGGAAACGACUGCUAAUACCGCAUAAGCGCACAGCUUCGCAUGAAGCAGUGUGAAAAACUCCGGUGGUACAAGAUGGACCCGCGUCUGAUUAGCUGGUUGGUGAGGUAACGGCCCACCAAGGCGACGAUCAGUAGCCGGCCUGAGAGGGUGAACGGCCACAUUGGGACUGAGACACGGCCCAAACUCCUACGGGAGGCAGCAGUGGGGAAUAUUGCACAAUGGGGGAAACCCUGAUGCAGCAACGCCGCGUGAGUGAAGAAGUAUUUCGGUAUGUAAAGCUCUAUCAGCAGGAAAGAAAAUGACGGUACCUGACUAAGAAGCCCCGGCUAACUACGUGCCAGCAGCCGCGGUAAUACGUAGGGGGCAAGCGUUAUCCGGAUUUACUGGGUGUAAAGGGAGCGUAGACGGUUUUGCAAGUCUGAAGUGAAAGCCCGGGGCUUAACCCCGGGACUGCUUUGGAAACUGUAGAACUAGAGUGCAGGAGAGGUAAGUGGAAUUCCUAGUGUAGCGGUGAAAUGCGUAGAUAUUAGGAGGAACACCAGUGGCGAAGGCGGCUUACUGGACUGUAACUGACGUUGAGGCUCGAAAGCGUGGGGAGCAAACAGGAUUAGAUACCCUGGUAGUCCACGCCGUAAACGAUGAUUACUAGGUGUUGGUGGGUAUGACCCAUCGGUGCCGCAGCAAACGCAAUAAGUAAUCCGCCUGGGGAGUA